Molecule: unclassified non-coding RNA, 300 nt
Organism: Callithrix jacchus (white-tufted-ear marmoset)
Lineage: Eukaryota; Metazoa; Chordata; Mammalia; Primates; Cebidae
Rfam family: Metazoan signal recognition particle RNA
About the family: The signal recognition particle (SRP) is a universally conserved ribonucleoprotein.
Source: Ensembl
GCCAGGCGCAGUAGGGUAUUCCUGUAGUCCCAGCUACUCAGGAGGCUGAGACUGGAGGAUCGCUUGAGUCCAGGAGAUCCGGACUAUAGUCUGCUAUGCUGAUCAGGUGUCCACACUAAGUUUAGCAUCAAUAUGGUGACCUCCUGGGAGCAGGGGACCACCAGGUUGCCUAAGGAGGGGUGAACCGGCCCAGGUCAGAAACAGAGCAGGUCAGAACUCCCGUGCUGAUCAGUAGUGGGAUAGUGCCUGUGAAUAGGCACUGCACUCCAGCCUGGGCCACAAAACAAGAUCCCGUCUCUA